Zalophus californianus (California sea lion) is the source of this 728-nucleotide long non-coding RNA. RefSeq lists it as uncharacterized. The transcript has 4 exons. The record is from RefSeq and is a predicted model, not a curated record. NCBI's taxonomy places the organism in Eukaryota, Metazoa, Chordata, Mammalia, Carnivora, Otariidae.
GAGGUGUGAGGGAUGGAGCCAUAGGACUUCCCAUCUAAACCGGAACACCCGAGAGUCAAAGAAGGUGACCCAGCAUGAACAGAAGCAUAAUGGGGAAUGAGCAGUCAUCCCAGUUUGAGGACCCAGCAUGAAAGUUAAGGCUCCUGUAGCUCAUCUAGACCACACAAACACUCUGCCCUCUGAUGCCUCCCUUCCUCCCACCCUUGUGGCCUUUGCCCACCUGCCUGGCACAGCACCCUCUUCAAAGCCCGGUCCCUCAGUCACGUUGUGGACGCUUCUCCGCCAGCAUCUCCAGGGUACCCAGCUGCAAAUCAUGCCAGGUGCAAAAUCAAUGGCCCCAUCCGGCUCAACAAGCUCUGAGGAGACACCACGUCUUGCCAUCUCCUCUAGCCCUGUCCAACUGUAAAGGAGGGUCGUGGUUUGAGUACCCUCAAAUCCAAGCCCUGAGAAAGAGCUUGGGACCCGAACUGGUGAAUGAUCUAGAAGGUGGUCCCAGAAGGCAGAAGCGAGGGGAGGUGAGGAAGGAAGGAGAGCCUAAGAGGUGCCAUAUGGCUCUGAGAUCUUGCCCAUUCCUUGUUUAUUCACCUCAUUCAUUCCUGCCGCAUUCUGCGGGACUACGAGUCUGCGUGUCCAAGGCUGUCGAGUCCUAGGGGAAGGGGAGCAGUGCGUUCCUGCAGGUGACAGAGAGACGCCCGUUGUCCUGCUCCCGUGGCCCCUUGGUGUCUGGC